CGCUACUCUGUACUUUUCCUCAUCUCAACAACAAAUCUCAUGUGUGGCAUAAACCCAGCUGUGCUCUGCUGGACCUUUAUUUCUUUAACAGCCCUGAAACUGGACUCAAUAGAGACCCCAAUACUCAAUACAGAGUAAUUUGCUGCUUUUUCCUGAUUGGUUCCCCUUUAUUACUCUUGUUUUUUAAACUGCACAAACUGUUAAUAAUAGAAGCACGUAGGCACCCUUCAACAUUAGUGUUUUGCCAUAUUUAGACAAGAAGGUGGAGUGCUGUUAUCAGCUAAUUCUAGCUUGUUAGACUGUAUCUGGUCUUUAAGUGAUGACGUAUGAACCCUGGUUCCAAACUACUCUGUGUUCAUUAAGGCUGUUGUGUUUCUAACAUGUUUUAAUGUUUGUAUAUGUAUAUAACCUGGUAUUGUGGAUGGAUUAUCUCAGUUGUUCUCCUGACUGAAGUUCGUUUACAGCAUCCUGCCAUGCGACUGCAUUUAACUGUGUUGUUGGUCAGAUGAUGUCACUAAAAAUGGAUGUUAGAGGAACCUACAGGUGGCAGUUAGCUACAGAUAGCUAGCAGCUAACUGCUAGCAAAACAUGUUAGCAUCAGUAGUAACUUGUGGAAACUUUAAAAUGCAGAACUCAGAAACCUCUGGGUCACGUCACCAUGGCGACAUAUAUCUUUUAUAAAAGUCUCUACUGAAGGCCCAAAGUUUAAAGAAGUUGACAAGUCAUAUCUAUAAUUUAACAUCCAACUCUGCGGCGGCUUCACUUGCCUCAGCUGAGGGAGUCGGGAGUUAGCCGGGCGCCGGGCAGGAUGUGGAAACUUCAGAGACUGGAGGCUGAUUUGUGUCAGAGUGAAAACAGAACACGCUUCAUCAAAUCUACACCUGCAGGCUAAAGGAUGCUCAUCCAACGUUUUAUCGGUCUCGGAAAGAUACCUGUAAAUGAUUUAUAUUUCUAGGUAUUUUUGCCCCCAUCCGUGGAAAAACGACUUUGCUCCCUUUAAUGGAGGCCUUCUUCAGUAAGAGGCUGGAACAAAUAAAUGGCUCCGUAUCAUCAAGAUGCCAUCAAAGGGACCAAAACGUUCAGAUAAAUCUAUUUAUUCAUUCAUUUACGUAAACG
Long non-coding RNA from Astatotilapia calliptera (eastern happy), 1116 nucleotides. Lineage: Eukaryota; Metazoa; Chordata; Actinopteri; Cichliformes; Cichlidae. The record is from Ensembl.